This 497-nucleotide ribosomal RNA is filed under the name uncultured bacterium. RNAcentral describes it as "partial 16S ribosomal RNA". It matches the Rfam family "Bacterial small subunit ribosomal RNA", at positions 28 to 507 of the family's 1533-position model. The record is from RNAcentral.
GAUGAACGCUGGCGGCGUGCCUAAUACAUGCAAGUCGAGCGAACGGACGAGAAGCUUGCUUUUCUGAUGUUAGCGGCGGACGGGUGAGUAACACGUGGAUAACCUACCUAUAAGACUGGGAUAACUUCGGGAAACCGGAGCUAAUACCGGAUAAUAUUUUGAACCGCAUGGUUCAAAAGUGAAAGACGGUCUUGCUGUCACUUAUAGAUGGAUCCGCGCUGCAUUAGCUAGUUGGUAAGGUAACGGCUUACCAAGGCAACGAUGCAUAGCCGACCUGAGAGGGGGAUCGGCCACCCGGGAACUGAGACACGGUCCAGACUCCUACGGGAGGCAGCAGUAGGGAAUCUUACGCAAUGGGCGAAAGCCUGACGGAGCAACGCCGCGUGAGUGAUGAAGGUCUUCGGAGCGUAAAACUCUGUUAUUAGGGAAGAACAUAUGUGUAAGUAACUGUGCACAUCUUGACGGUACCUAAUCAGAAAGCAACGGCUAACUACGUG